CAGGCUGGAGUGCGGUGGCAUGAUCUCGGCCCACUGCAACAUCCGCCUCCUAGGUUCAAGCGAUUCUUCUGCCUCAGCCUCCCGAGUAGCUGGACUACAGGCAUGCGCCACCACACCCAGCUAAUUUUUGUAUCUUCAGUAAAGAUGGGGUUUCACCAUAUUGGUCAGGCUGGUCUCAAACUCCUGACCUCAGGCGAUCCACCCACCUCAACCUCCCAAAGUGCUGGGAUUACAAGCACAAGCCACCGCGCCCGGCCAGGUUGACACAUAAGAUUAAUCAUUGCUCACAGUUACUAAGCGGCAGAGCUGGGGUUCGAAACUAGCAUUUCAGGCACUGUGCCCCACACUCGGCUUCAUGGCUCACCAGCCUGCCAGGUGGACACGCCCAGUCUCGCUCUUCCUGUCUCCACCCACUGUGUGUGUGCACCUGCCAUGUGCCAGGGGGCACGGAGGGGCACAAGUUGUGUUUCCAUCGCCUAGAUUUCCCCAGCUCAUGGUGGAGAUGGACACAUCCAAAACUCUGAUCUGAGAUGAGUCUCCUUGGUAUCUGAAGGAUGUCCUUCCUCUCUGGGUCUAGAACUCUGGAGUGACAGCUCUUUUCUUCCAGCACCGUAAACACGUUGCUCCCUUGUCUUCUGGAGCCCAUCAUUUCUGCUGAAAAAUAAUCUUAUUGUCCCCUUGAAGCAGGAGUUGGGAAAUCCCCUGAAUGAAAAGCGAGCAACAGCGUUGGCUCAUCUCUCCGCGGUUCCCCUUUUGCUGAGAUCUCAGCCCUUUGAGUCCCGAUUGGCUCAGCUGCUCACCAGUGUCUUCAAAAAGAGCAUUCGUAUUUUACCCAGCUUGUCUACGUAGUGAUCUAUGCUGGCUACUUCAUAACAGCCAGAAGCAAUAGUCAUUAAGUGGAUGGUCCCUGAAACGUAAGGGACCCGACAGCCACCACGGCGAGGAAGGCGCAGAAGGGGCAGCACGGAGCCGUGAGCCACAGAGAUGCUGCAGCCUGGACCAGCCAUCAUCAGACAGGCGUGUGCCGUCAGCGCUCAACGUGUGAGAAAGCACAGAGCCAGGCCCUUCCCAAGACCCCACUAUGAACCCGAUUGCUUCGGCCUGGCUGCCUUCCUCCAAAGGGGUGCAGGCGGGGCCCACGGGACCCCAGUUCUCUAGUCUCGCCUGACUCUAGGCAGAACUCUAGUGGCUCUGAUCUCUGGGCAGAACUGACUCAAGAGCCACUGAAGAGACCUUCGCCUGGGGUCCUAGACUGGGCUGCAAGGAGUCUUUGAAUCUCUUGAGAUUGUGCACUAAGUAUUUACCUGCACGCAUUUUUCCAGGAAGAGGGCCUGCGGCUUGCAUCAUAUCCCCACCGUGGUCUGUGACCAAGAAAGUAGUCAGCAUCUUUAGGCUAGAGGAGGCGGGAGCCCCGGAUUCCAAUCGCAGUUCUCCCUGGCUGUGUGAGCUUGAUUUGUCCUUUCUCUCUCUGAGCCCUGAUUCUGCCUCUUUUCUGCAAGGACCUUGAUCGCUGGGGGCGGCAGGGCUCUGUCUGCUGAACCCCAGAUCCCUCUGCACUUUCCCUGCUCUGCUCAGUAGCGUGGGGCACUGGCCCAGCAAAGUUCAUUUCCAGGUUCUUGUUGUGUUCUGACCCUGAGAGGCUCUGGCCGGGACUGGGAGGGUGGGAGGGUGGGAGGCCCAGGUAUCUGCCCACAUCUCUGCUUCAGGCACCAGCUCUGGCAGGGGCGGCCUCUGUAGUUCACUUCCUACAGGUGGCCCCUUCUUCCACGGGGCCCCCAAGGGGUGCGAAUCUCACCCUCCAUACACCUCUUUUUGGACCCUCUGUGUAUUAAACUCCCUAAGGAGCCACCUGACGUGAGCUCUGGAGCCUGAGCCGUGGCUGAUAACCAGGUGAUUGCCAAGUGCCUUGAACACCAAUAUUCCCACCCAGGGUUGCCCAGUGACUUCACAGCAGGGCAGCGUUCCCCCGUGCUUGCCCUGGAACCCCUUUUUGGUUGACAAAUUGUAUGUUUUCAGAAUGGUUUGAGAUUUACAGCAAAACAGAGAAGACAGCCCAGAAAGCACUCAUAUCCCCUCGCCCUGCCACCCCUCAUCCUCAUCCGCAUUGGCGUGGGCCUGUCACAGCCAUCCACCUGCUCGUGACCAAAAUCCACUUUAGCCAGAUUUCCUUCAUUACCUAGUGUCCCUUUUCUGUCCAGGACCCCAUCCCGGACACCAUAUGAUAUCUCCUCCCCUUGGGCUCCUCCUGGCUGUGACGGUUUCCCAGACUUUCCUCGUCUUGGUUUUUAUUUUUUUUGAGACAGAGUCUCGCUCUGUCACCCAGGAUGGAGUGCAGUGGCACAAUCUCGGCUCACUGCAAGCUCCGCCUCCCGGGUUAACGCCAUUCUCCUGCCUCAGCCUCCUGAGUAGCUGGGACUACAGGCACCCGCCACCACGCCCAGCUAAUUUUUUGUAUUUUUAGUAGAGACAGGGUUUCAUUGUGUUAGCCAGGAUGGUCUCCAUCUCCUGACCUCGUGAUCCGCCCACCUCAGCCUCCUAAAGUGCUGUGGAUUACAGGCAUGAGCCACAGCGCCCUGCCUCUUUUUUUUUUUUUUCUGAGCUGAAGUCUUGCUCUGUCACUCAGGCCAGAGUGAAGUAGCAUGAUCUCGGCUCCCUGCAACCUCUGCCUCCUGUGUUCAAGCAAUUCUCAUGCCUCAGCCCCUAAGUGUCUGGGACUACAGGCCCAUGCCACCCACCACGCCCAGGUAAUUUUUUUUUUUUUUUGUAUUUUUAGUAGAGACAAGGUUUCACUGUGUUGGCCAAGCUGGUCUCAAACUCCUGACCUCAGGUGAUCGCCUUGGCCUCCCGAUUUCCUUGUCUUCAAUGCUGGGCAGUUUUGAGCAGCGCUGCUCAGGUGUUUGUAGGGCAUUCCUGGGCGAGAUCCGUCUGCUGCAUGCCUCACAGUUGGGCUGGGUGAUGGGUGGUUAAGUUUGGGAGGAAGAGCAUGGGGGCAACGCACCCUCUCCCCACACACAUCAGGGACACACCAUCAGCGGGGCACGCCACGGUUGGUGCUGGCCUUGAGUGAAGGGCUGAGGUGCACCCGUCUCUCCAUGGUAAAGCCACUUCCUCCUUCCCACCCUGUCUCCUCGGGAAGCCUGGACCCCCUGUUGCGGAGCCCCUUCUGGACCAGUGCGCCUGGGAAAUGCUGAGCCAGUUCCAGCCUAGCACACAGUAGGUGCCUAAUUGAGCCUCCCCGAACUGGAUGGAGCAUGGGAAAUCAACCCACGGCUGUGGCCUCAUUAGGAAGGAAGUUUUCCCUCCACUCAACUCCCUCUUGGCUUGUGGUCUAAUUAAGCUCUGCUGCUCCCUCGGGCCUGGGCCGGUUUGCACGGCUCACUCCCGACUUGAGGGGUUCCCGCCAGGCCCUGCUGGCUCCAGCUUCUGCCCACCCAGAAGGAGUGUGCCGGGGAGCUGAGGCCCCCACAAGGGCUCCCAGCCAGAAAGGCAUCUGGAUCCCCCACCAGCGCCCUUUCUAACCACCACAUAAGCAUCAAAAGCACACGGCACAGACAAGCCCACAAACAGAAGAGCAGAGGGUCCGGCUCUCCCCGCCUCCUCCCCCGGCCACACCCGGCAUUUCUAGGAGACUUUUCCCCAAGGCUCUGAGCCCU
This 3653-nucleotide long non-coding RNA is filed under the name Homo sapiens (human). RNAcentral describes it as "HSALNT0156501". Lineage: Eukaryota; Metazoa; Chordata; Mammalia; Primates; Hominidae. The record is from RNAcentral.